GCCUUCGUGGUGUAGUGGUAGUACGCUCGGCGCGUAUUCGAGAGGCCCGCGGUUCGAAUCCCGGCGAGUGCA
RNAcentral lists this transfer RNA (72 nucleotides) under Stegodyphus mimosarum. It matches the Rfam family "tRNA". From Rfam's summary of the family: Transfer RNA (tRNA) molecules are approximately 80 nucleotides in length. Their secondary structure includes four short double-helical elements and three loops (D, anti-codon, and T loops). Further hydrogen bonds mediate the characteristic L-shaped molecular structure. tRNAs have two regions of fundamental functional importance: the anti-codon, which is responsible for specific mRNA codon recognition, and the 3' end, to which the tRNAs corresponding amino acid is attached (by aminoacyl-tRNA synthetases). tRNAs cope with the degeneracy of the genetic code in two manners: having more than one tRNA (with a specific anti-codon) for a particular amino acid; and 'wobble' base-pairing, i.e. permitting non-standard base-pairing at the 3rd anti-codon position. The record is from Rfam by way of RNAcentral. Lineage: Eukaryota; Metazoa; Arthropoda; Arachnida; Araneae; Eresidae.